AGAGUUUGAUCAUGGCUCAGGAUGAACGCUAGCUACAGGCUUAACACAUGCAAGUCGAGGGGCAGCAUUUCGCUAGCAAUAGUGAAGAUGGCGACCGGCGCACGGGUGAGUAACACGUAUCCAACCUGCCGAUAACUCGGGAUAGCCUUUCGAAGAAAGAUUAAUAUCCGAUGGUAUAUUAAAACCGCAUGGUUUACAUUAAAGAUUUCGGUUAUCGAUGGGAUGCGUUCCAUUAG
RNAcentral lists this ribosomal RNA (236 nucleotides) under uncultured bacterium. Its description in RNAcentral is "partial 16S ribosomal RNA". It matches the Rfam family "Bacterial small subunit ribosomal RNA", at positions 8 to 244 of the family's 1533-position model. The record is from RNAcentral.